AACCACUACACCACGGAGGCGGUUGUGAUCCCUUGAAAGUGGAGGAAGCUCAUUAUGGGCUUGGUAAUUCAGGUAAAAAGCCUUGGGGCCGUGGAAAUUCCAAAUGGUAGGACUUUCCAUUGGUAGUGAUUCCCGUUGAACACAAAGCGAAGGUACUUCCGGUGUUCUGAAUUUGUAUCGGAACGUGAAGAUAAGCAUUCUGAAGAUCUAGGCUGAUGAGGAAGUCUCCCUUCUUCAAGAUGGCGCGUAGAAGGUUGAUCGACACCAUCCUGA
Molecule: long non-coding RNA, 273 nt
Organism: Haliotis rubra (blacklip abalone)
Lineage: Eukaryota; Metazoa; Mollusca; Gastropoda; Lepetellida; Haliotidae
Exons: 3
Source: RefSeq, a predicted model, not a curated record